Molecule: small nuclear RNA, 245 nt
Filed under: Rattus norvegicus (Norway rat)
Lineage: Eukaryota; Metazoa; Chordata; Mammalia; Rodentia; Muridae
Description: 7SK RNA
Rfam family: 7SK RNA
About the family: 7SK was discovered as an abundant small nuclear RNA in the mid-70s but a possible function has only recently been suggested.
Source: Rfam by way of RNAcentral
AAACGUGAAUGCUGUUUGGACUACGGCAGUAAUCACUCCACUGUUUGCAAGGGUUGAUUGGGCUGACCUGGCCAGGUAGGCCAAUUUCCUCUUUCUCCAUCACCACUAUGUGUGUAUCCUUCCAAGAUCACUGAGCUCUGUCGACCAUGCCCUGUUUACUAGAACCUCUAGACAAGCUCUCAAGAUCACAGCUUUUACAUCUUCUAGAUGUAAAAGAUGACUUUGCAAAUCAAGGAGUAUUAUUU